RNAcentral lists this ribosomal RNA (242 nucleotides) under uncultured bacterium. Its description in RNAcentral is "partial 16S ribosomal RNA". It matches the Rfam family "Bacterial small subunit ribosomal RNA", at positions 524 to 765 of the family's 1533-position model. The record is from RNAcentral.
UACAGAGGGGGCAAGCGUUGUUCGGAAUUACUGGGCGUAAAGGGCGCGUAGGUGGUGGCUUAAGCGUGCGGUGAAAGCUCGGGGCUCAACCCCGAGUCGGCCGUGCGAACUGGGCUCACUGGAGCAUAGUAGAGGCAGGUGGAAUUCCGGGUGUAGCGGUGAAAUGCGUAGAUAUCGGGAGGAACAUCAGUGGCGAAGGCGGCCUCUGGUCCAGUACUGACACUCAAGUGCGAAAGCGUGGG